RNAcentral lists this ribosomal RNA (1509 nucleotides) under uncultured rumen bacterium. RNAcentral describes it as "bacterial SSU rRNA". It matches the Rfam family "Bacterial small subunit ribosomal RNA". The record is from RNAcentral.
AGAGUUUGAUCAUGGCUCAGGACGAACGCUGGCGGCGUGCUUAACACAUGCAAGUCGAACGAGACGAUUGAAAGCUUGCUUUUGAAAGUCGAGUGGCAAACGGGUGAGUAACGCGUAGGCAACCUGCCUCUAGGAUGGGGACAACAGUCCGAAAGGACUGCUAAUACCGAAUGUUGUAGAUAUUCCGCAUGGAGUACCUAUUAAAGAUGGCCUCUACUUGUAAGCUAUCACCUAGAGAUGGGCCUGCGUCUGAUUAGCUAGUUGGUGGGGCAACGGCCUACCAAGGCGACGAUCAGUAGCCGGUCUGAGAGGAUGAACGGCCACAUUGGAACUGAGACACGGUCCAGACUCCUACGGGAGGCAGCAGUGGGGAAUCUUCCGCAAUGGGCGAAAGCCUGACGGAGCAACGCCGCGUGAGUGAAGAAGGCCUUCGGGUCGUAAAGCUCUGUUGUCGGGGACGAAUGUAGUAACCAUCAACAACGGUAACUAAUGACGGUACCUGACGAGGAAGCCACGGCUAACUACGUGCCAGCAGCCGCGGUAAUACGUAGGUGGCGAGCGUUGUCCGGAAUUAUUGGGCGUAAAGGGAGCGCAGGCGGGAGGCCAAGUCCAUCCUAAAAGUUCGGGGCUCAACCCCGUGAGGGGAUGGAAACUGGUCUUCUUGAGUGCAGGAGAGGAAAGCGGAAUUCCUAGUGUAGCGGCGAAAUGCGUAGAUAUUAGGAGGAACACCAGUGGCGAANGCGGCUUUCUGGACUGUAACUGACGCUGAGGCUCGAAAGCCAGGGGAGCGAACGGGAUUAGAUACCCUGGUAGUCCACGCCGUAAACGAUGAGCACUAGGUGUCGGGGCCGUAAAGGCUUCGGUGCCGCAGUUAACGCAAUAAGUGCUCCGCCUGGGGAGUAUGCACGCAAGUGUUAAACUCAAAGGAAUUGACGGGGACCCGCACAAGCAGCGGAGCAUGUGGUUUAAUUCGAAGCAACGCGAAGAACCUUACCAGGACUUGACAUCCCCCUGACAGGGCUUUAAAAGGCCCCUUCUUCGGACAGGGGAGACAGGUGGUGCAUGGUUGUCGUCAGCUCGUGUCGUGAGAUGUUGGGUUAAGUCCCGCAACGAGCGCAACCCUUGCCUUUAGUUGCCAUCAUCAAGUUGGGCACUCUAGAGGGACUGCCGGGGACAACUCGGAGGAAGGUGGGGAUGACGUCAAAUCAUCAUGCCCCUUAUGUUCUGGGCUACACACGUGCUACAAUGGCCGGUACAGCAGGAAGCGAAGCCGUGAGGCGGAGCGAACCCCAAAAGCCGGUCCCAGUUCGGACUGCAGGCUGCAACCCGCCUGCACGAAGUCGGAGUUGCUAGUAACCGCGGAUCAGCACGCCGCGGUGAAUGCGUUCCCGGGUCUUGUACACACCGCCCGUCACACCAUGGAAGUUGGUGGUGCCCGAAGUCGGUCAACAAAUCUACUGCCUAAGGCAAAACCAAUGACUGGGGUGAAGUCGUAACAAGGUAGCCGUA